GGCAAGACGGAAAGACCCCGUGAACCUUUACUAUAGCUUGACACUGAACAUUGAGCCUUGAUGUGUAGGAUAGGUGGGAGGCUUUGAAGUGUGGACGCCAGUCUGCAUGGAGCCGACCUUGAAAUACCACCCUUUAAUGUUUGAUGUUCUAACGUGGACCCGUGAUCCGGGUUGCGGACAGUGUCUGGUGGGUAGUUUGACUGGGGCGGUCUCCUCCUAAAGAGUAACGGAGGAGCACGAAGGUUGGCUAAUCCUGGUCGGACAUCAGGAGGUUAGUGCAAUGGCAUAAGCCAGCUUGACUGCGAGCGUGACGGCGCGAGCAGGUGCGAAAGCAGGUCAUAGUGAUCCGGUGGUUCUGAAUGGAAGGGCCAUCGCUCAACGGAUAAAAGGUACUCCGGGGAUAACAGGCUGAUACCGCCCAAGAGUUCAUAUCGACGGCGGUGUUUGGCACCUCGAUGUCGGCUCAUCACAUCCUGGGGCUGAAGUAGGUCCCAAGGGUAUGGCUGUUCGCCAUUUAAAGUGGUACGCGAGCUGGGUUUAGAACGUCGUGAGACAGUUCGGUCCCUAUCUGCCGUGGGCGCUGGAGAACUGAGGGGGGCUGCUCCUAGUACGAGAGGACCGGAGUGGACGCAUCACUGGUGUUCGGGUUGUCAUGCCAAUGGCACUGCCCGGUAGCUAAAUGCGGAAGAGAUAAGUGCUGAAAGCAUCUAAGCACGAAACUUGCCCCGAGAUGAGUUCUCCCUGAGACUUAGAGUCUCCUGAAGGAACGUUGAAGACGACGACGUUGAUAGGCCGGGUGUGUAAGCGCAGCGAUGCGUUGAGCUAACCGGUACUAAUGAACCGUGAGGCUUAACCUU
RNAcentral lists this ribosomal RNA (857 nucleotides) under Salmonella enterica subsp. enterica serovar Kentucky. Its description in RNAcentral is "partial 23S ribosomal RNA". It matches the Rfam family "Bacterial large subunit ribosomal RNA", at positions 2074 to 2925 of the family's 2925-position model. The record is from RNAcentral. Lineage: Bacteria; Pseudomonadati; Pseudomonadota; Gammaproteobacteria; Enterobacterales; Enterobacteriaceae.